RNAcentral lists this ribosomal RNA (695 nucleotides) under uncultured Bacteroidales bacterium. RNAcentral describes it as "bacterial SSU rRNA". It matches the Rfam family "Bacterial small subunit ribosomal RNA", at positions 62 to 751 of the family's 1533-position model. The record is from RNAcentral. Lineage: Bacteria; Pseudomonadati; Bacteroidota; Bacteroidia; Bacteroidales.
UCGAGGGGCAUCAUGACCUAGCAAUAGGUUGAUGGCGACCGGCGCACGGGUGAGUAACACGUAUCCAACCUGCCGAUUAUUCCGGGAUAGCCUUUCGAAAGAAAGAUUAAUACUGGAUAGCAUAACGAGAAGGCAUCUUCUUGUUAUUAAAGAAUUUCGAUAAUCGAUGGGGAUGCGUUCCAUUAGUUUGUUGGCGGGGUAACGGCCCACCAAGACAUCGAUGGAUAGGGGUUCUGAGAGGAAGGUCCCCCACAUUGGAACUGAGACACGGUCCAAAGUCCUACGGGAGGCAGCAGUGAGGAAUAUUGGUCAAUGGACGAGAGUCUGAACCAGCCAAGUAGCGUGAAGGAUGACUGCCCUAUGGGUUGUAAACUUCUUUUAUAUGGGAAUAAAGUGCAGUAUGUAUACUGUUUUGUAUGUACCAUACGAAUAAGGAUCGGCUAACUCCGUGCCAGCAGCCGCGGUAAUACGGAGGAUCCGAGCGUUAUCCGGAUUUAUUGGGUUUAAAGGGAGCGUAGGCGGAUUAUUAAGUCAGUUGUGAAAGUUUGCGGCUCAACCGUAAAAUUGCAGUUGAUACUGGUAGUCUUGAGUGCAGCAGAGGUAGGCGGAAUUCGUGGUGUAGCGGUGAAAUGCUUAGAUAUCACGAAGAACUCCGAUUGCGAAGGCAGCUUACUGGACUGUAACUGACGCUGAUG